GUUCUGUAAAUCUCUCUCACAUCGAAGUAGAUCUAUGUAUCAGCAUGAUAUAGGCUACCUGGGUUUACAGCUACUUUCUACCUCUGGUGAUUUUGGAUAGGUUACUUAAACCUCACAUCUCAGAUUUCUCAUCUGUCAAAUGGGGAACAAUGCCUACCUCUUGGGGCUCGUAGAGGAUUAAAUGAGCUAAUAAUGUAAGCCUCUUAGCACAUUGCCUGGAACUGGUGUUUGUUGGGUCAGUAUAUGUCAUUAUUAUUGUCUUCUAUUUUUCUUGCUGCUGCAUUAAAGACAUGUAUGUAUUUAAACUAUUUGGAGUCACUGGAAGGGGGAGCAUGUCCAACCUUAUUGUAGUCUUGAAAGAAUGUACCGUGCCUUCCUAAGAAAUGCAUGUUCUUAAAGGGAUGCCUAGGCACUCUUUGAAAUGUUAAGUAGGAUACGUUACACAUUUUCUACAUGAUUAAAAUAAUUUAUGCAUUUUAUAACUAAGCUGAAGUUUUCAAAUAAAAUUCAGCUAAACUGCUCCCACAACUGUAAUGGGCAAAGACAGUUGUGAUUGCCUAAAAUGUCACUAUUGUGCAAUGAUAUUUAAACCUUAUAUUAUAUAUCUUCAUCUUAAAUUCUACUUUGUGUAUUAGACAUCAGUUUAUAAGACCUGAAAAUUUCGAAGAGCAACAAUUCCCUACACAUGCCCCCAACAAUUAGAUUAGGGUGUUUAUUCCCAGCCAUUUUUUUUCUAUUGUAUGAAUAUCCAGAUGACACACAUACGUGUAAAUGAUCUGAUCAGUAACCAAGAGGAGGCCCACCAGAGGUCGGCCUAGUGCCAACAGCCUCCAAUCCAUCUCCAUGAAACCUUCGCAGAAAUGCUUUUGGAACGUUCUUGUGCUCUGCUCACCCAUGGCAAGGUACUGGUGGUACUACCUGCAAUUACCAGUCACCCUAAUGUCCUUUUUCACUGACUUUAAAACUUCCUGAAAGUUCAUUCUUCUAAAUGCUAAGGUUGGAGAAAUACAAGCAAAACCUUGACAAGCAGACGAGGAUGAAGGAAGCUUUCCUGGCCAUUACUUUCCCUGUGUCCUUGCAAAGGACAAGCCCACAGUCUCUUUACCAAUUCUCAAAAACACAUCCAUUAAUUCUCCAGAAAUGACCAGCUCUGCUCUCAUUGUCGACAGUCAGAAGAGCGUGCAACCGAGAGAGAUCCCUCUCCUGAAACAUAAAUAGAUGGGAUGAUGAAAGCAGGUUUGUUACAACAACUGCCCUUUGUCACUGAGGGAAUCCCAUCUGUGCACCACCUACUUGGUGGGCUUUUUCUUUACCUGCUUAUUGUAGUGCAAAUUUUGCUUUGCUCUUUCCACAAGGACCAGGCCAGGAUGCAGACAGGAGAAGCCGGCUGAAGUCUUUGAAAGCACUAUUGACUUGGUUCAGAGGGGUGAGCAGACCAGAGCAUUAUUACACUAUUGAAUAUCUUAGGCUUUUAUGUUGCCCGUGUGAGUACGGUUUUGCUUUGCAAGAAACCUAGCCCCUCUGAAAAAUAUGAGAGAAAAUGUAGUAAUAAGAGUAAUCCUCCCUGGAAUCAGUCUUCUUUUAAAGAACUCUAAGAGACAAAGCCACCGUGAGGGGGGACAGGAGACUUGAGCUGAGAGUGGUUCCCUCAGGUGGUCAGAGGAGAAUUCCAUGAGAUGAUUGACUGAUUGAUGAAUAGACCGAUCAAAUCAUCCUCCUCUUGGCAGCUGGAGAAAAACGGGAGAGAAAGGAAGAGGGAAAAUUCCUAGUGGCAGUGUGUUUUUCACUUGUAAACUCUUACAUUCUUGGGGUUUAUAUAUUAUACUUCCACAGCUAAGGACACGCUGGGCAUAUUUUCUUCUCUGAGUACAUUAGAAUGCUUAUUAGAGAGCAAGAGCCUUGUAAUUGCAUUGUAGAAGCUUUCUGGGCUCCAGACUCCAAAGGAAGCGUCAGGGAGGGAGUUGAGUUGUGAUGUGGAGAAGACAGGCUUGUAUGAACAGGAGACCACAGUAGAAUUUGACCACAGUUCAAAUCAAUGGAUUUAUGAGGUUAGAAACCUGUCUUUUUAAAUAACAGAGGUGUGAAAAUGAUGCCGUUGCUCAACUGACUAGAUCAGUGAAAUUCAGUUGGGAAUAAAGCCGGGAAAAGUAUAGAAAAUCAGCCAUGUAAUCAUGCUGGGAACCUCUUAUUUCGCUCAGGAUCUUAGGGAAAUUUUAUUUGCAUGACAUGUGAAUUUAAAAAUACUGCUAAGUUUCGUGAGAGCUUCCUCCAUCUGGUCAUGUGAGAAACCUCGUGGACAGGAAUGGACUGAGCUUAGUGGGCAUGAACUUAAAGUGGAAAAAAUAGGACAUUGUUUACAACCACAUGGCAUUUCAUCAAAGGCUAUUUUCAUUUUAAGUUCUUGACCACUAUUUAGAACCAAAUUCAAUAUGUUUUCCUCCCUUAUAGUGGUUGUACCCUCAAAGCUACAGAAAAGGAUACUUGAGACCCAACAAAUCCAAUAUGGAACCCAGCAUCUUCCCUUCAGAUAUUUCUACCUCACCAUCCAUUAGUUGCUCUUGAACAUAGAAGUCAGCCUUGACUCCCUUCUCCCAGUCCCUCCCCACUUCCAGGUCCCAUCUUUUCAGUUUUCAUUUUCUGUCCUAUUCCUCUCUACCACACAGACGCCAUGUUGGUGCCAUGCCUAGUUGGGACAGUGCAGCAGCCGCCCUGCUUCCAUCUAACUGGACAUCUAGAGGACAGCACCUCUGCUUCCAUCUAUCUGACUCCAACUAAUCCUCCACAUGGCUCAGAAGCCCUUCUAAACUAAUGAAUGCUCGUGUCUGGGCUUCCCCACCUUUCUCCUUCAUUUUCUUUUGGAGUGUAGAGCCCAUAAAGAUUCCAUUUUUUGUAUUAUCCUCCUUUCUGCAAGCCCCUAAUUGAAUGCCAAUUACAAUUCAACUAUGUGGACAAGCUAUCGUUACUAAAGUUGUUGUGUUAUGCUCAAAGCAGCAGGUCUUCCAGCUUUCCCUUUGAGAGAUUUACCUCUUUCACACAAAGCUCAUAUCCCUUCAGCAGCUCCCUGAACUUAUCUUAUCACUUAUCACCACUCUAUGCCUCCCUUUCUGUUCCAGCCUCUCCAGUUCAGAAUCCAGCAUCCCUUCCCCAAAACACCCACCUUUGUAUUACAACCUUCUCCAAAUCACCUCAGCAAAACAAAAGCAUUCUAGCGAGACAAACUAUACUUAUGGCUGUUCCAGAAACAUACUUUUGGAAGACUUCAAGUCAACCCAAACACACAGCUGAUCAUCGUACUUGAGAAUCCCGACAACACUCCAACGACCUUCUCCAUGCCCCUCUUGCUCUAAACGAUUUCAGAAGGAAAGAGAGAAAUCAUUAGGCAAAACCAAUAAGUGAAGAGACAAUGACUGAGAAGUUUCCAGAACUAAUUAAAAAAACCCAAACCAUAAAUUCAAGAAGUUCAAUGAGUAAAAAGAAAUCUACAUCUAGACUGUAUAACUAAAUUUUACGCUCCAUGAAAAUAUGUUUCAAGAAUAAGUGCAAAAUAUAUUUUCAGAGUAACCAAAAAUAAGAGAGUUUGCCAACAGACCCAUGCUAAAGGGAAUUCUAAAAGAUGUAUUUCAGGCAGAAGAAAAGUGAUCUUUGAUGAAAUAUCUGACGUGACAUAGAAGUAAAAAUCACAAGCAGUUGCCAAAAUGUGGGUAAGUCUAAAUAAACUUUGAUUAUGUAAAAUAACAGUUUGGGGUUUACUAAAAGCAAGAUAAAACAGAAUGCCCAACAACAGUAUAUACCUUAGAAAGGGGUGAUUGGAGUCAAAAUAUUGAAUCAUUCAGAUUAGGCUGGGUUAGCCAUAGUAAGCAAUCCUGAAAUGUCACUGACUGAACACAAUGAAGGUUUAUUUUCUCUUAUACUGCUUAUCCCACAGAGGUUGGCAUUCCACACUCAUUUAACCAUGAACAUCCAAGGACCCAGGGUAAUGGAGUUUCCAUCUUGACCUAUCUUCCCAAAUUCAUAAUGGCAGAGGGAAAAGAAUAAGAGAAUCAUACAUUGGUUCUUAAUCACAUAUGACCUCCUUUACCACUUAUUGGCCAAAGCAAGUCCCUUGGCCAUAUCUACAUUCAAGGCUUGGAGUGGGGAAGGGCAAUCCUACUAUGAGAUUACGAGGAAGAGUACUGGACAGUUUGUGACCAGCCCUAAUGACAGUGUCUGUUAGGAACAGGAUAACAGGAUUUCAUCAGAGAAGAUUUGUGUCAGUUUCUACAAACACGAUAGGACUUGAUGGGGAAACAACUAAGAGAAGAGUUACAAAGUUACUUCCAUUCUUGAGGAGGGAAAAAAACUGGAUGAGAAAAAUAAUCAAUCCAAAUAAGACCAAAAAAAGACAGGAAAAUAAAAAGAAAAGUCUGAAAAAAUAAAAACCACAAAAUAAGGCAGUAGGUAUAAAUGUAAACUUAUCAGUUAUGACAAGUGUAAAUGGAUUGAAAGCUGCCACUAAAACACAAAAGAUUAUUAGGAUGAUUAAAAAAAAUCUAGCUAUAUAUUGUUUACAAGAGAUGUAUCAAAAACACAGGACAUGAAGAGGCUGAAAGUUAGAGGAUGAAAAAAAUAUAUCAGCUAAAUUCUAAGCAAAAGAAAGCAAGUAUUUCUGUAUUAAUAUCAGACAAAACAGACUUAAGACAAAAAGAUUUACUAGAGAUAAUGAUAAAAGGUUUAAUUUGUCAAUAUUU
Molecule: long non-coding RNA, 4727 nt
Organism: Equus caballus (horse)
Lineage: Eukaryota; Metazoa; Chordata; Mammalia; Perissodactyla; Equidae
Source: Ensembl